AGGACGAACGCUGGCGGCGUGCUUAACACAUGCAAGUCGAGCGGAAAGGCCCUUCGGGGUACUCGAGCGGCGAACGGGUGAGUAACACGUGAGCAACCUGCCCUUAGCUCCGGGAUAGCUCCGGGAAACCGGAAUUAAUACCGGAUACGACCACGGCCGACAUCUGCUGUGGUGGAAAGGAUUCCGGCUAAGGAUGGGCUCGCGGCCUAUCAGCUAGUUGGUGGAGUAACGGCCCACCAAGGCGACGACGGGUAGCCGGCCUGAGAGGGCGACCGGCCACACUGGGACUGAGACACGGCCCAGACUCCUACGGGAGGCAGCAGUGGGGAAUAUUGCGCAAUGGGCGAAAGCCUGACGCAGCGACGCCGCGUGGGGGAUGAAGGCCUUCGGGUUGUAAACCCUUUCAGCAGGGACGAAGCGAAGUGACGGUACCUGCAGAAGAAGCGCCGGCUAACUACGUGCCAGCAGCCGC
RNAcentral lists this ribosomal RNA (472 nucleotides) under uncultured bacterium. RNAcentral's name for it is "SSU rRNA". It matches the Rfam family "Bacterial small subunit ribosomal RNA", at positions 26 to 518 of the family's 1533-position model. The record is from RNAcentral.